RNAcentral lists this long non-coding RNA (2741 nucleotides) under Pelobates cultripes (western spadefoot toad). The record is from RNAcentral. Lineage: Eukaryota; Metazoa; Chordata; Amphibia; Anura; Pelobatidae.
UUCUUUUUGUUUUAAUAUAUAAUUUUUAUUAGUUUUCAAUUAUACAAACAUUUGAUGACAUACACAAAACUUUAAGCCAGCAAUAAUUUAUCCAUUGACAUUAUUUUAAUUAAUGUUAGAGACAAGUAGGACAUCACAGAACAUAAACAGAAAAAAGAAAAAACAGAUCUAAGUUCCCUAUGGAUAGGAGGAGGCGGAAAAGAAGGUUGACCCAGUCAUGUUCAAAGAUGAAAACCACAAGAUGAAAUGUUUACCGCUUAACAUUAUGGGAGGGUUCCUCUAACUUGUAAUUUCUCAACCUGUUCCAACCACUUUUAUACAGAUCAUGUGAUGUUCUACAAAUGCCCAUCUCCAUUGAGAUUUGGUAAAGAAUUAGAACUUUGACCUGUUGCCAACAAGGGGCUAUGACCAUCUUCCAGCAAUCAACAUCUUGGCAGCUGCCAAGGUGUGCAUCACAAUAGUUGAAGCGGUACCAAAUUUGUUUUGUAUGUUUAAUUGUAAUAGCAGAAGUCUGGGGUGGAAAUCAAUAGUUUUUGAAAGUAGAGUUUUAAUUUUCCAAAAUAGUUUGAUAGGUUACCAUUUCCACCAUAUAUGCAGGAAAUAUCCUCUGUGAACUAAUCAUCUCCAACAUCUAUCUGAGGCGUUGGGGUAAAUCCUAGACAACCUACAUGGGACCAGGUACCAUAUGUUUUAAAGUUUAUAAUGGAUCUCUGACAGAUUUAAGCAAUUAAUAUUUUAAUUGACAAUUUUUUGUUAUUCUGUCCAUUCCUCACAGCUAGUAUAUUUUUUUUGUUCUUGCUGCCAUUUUUUUUAAUCACAGGUAGAAUACGGUUUGUCAGGGUCUCCCUUCAUCAAAUCCAUACAGCCUGCCACUCGUUUACUCUUUUUCAUACUCAUUUUUUCGAAUUUAAUAUGUUUGACAGGUCUAUCCAUAGUUACAUGUUCUUGAAGAUAACCUUUUAUUCUAAUAUAAUUAAAAAUGUCUUUAUUAUAUAGACAAAAAUCAGAAUUUAACAAAGCGAAGUCCUUAACCCUGUUAUAUUGCAGCAGUAGAUUUCCAAUUUUAGGAAGGCCAGACUAAGCCAAUUAGAGAGAUUUAGAUCAGCAACAUUGUACAUCAGUUGAGUUAAAGGAAGACCUAAAAAUGUUUAACUUGGAGGUGACUGGCCCGCUGAGUUUUUCCAAUGUGUUCAAAAACUAUACUUUUUGAAGAGAUCUCUAUACAAUAUUUUCAUUUUUGUCCGCCAAAAUAUUGAUCCCAACUCUUUAAUAGUAUCACUAGAUUUUGUCAAGCACAUUUCAAUUUCAUACCAGAUUUCCUCUUUGACAUUCUCAAAUUGAGUAUAAAUAAUAUGUGCUAACAUACAAGCUUUCCAGUAGUCUUUUAGCUGGGUUAAACCUAGACCUCGAGUGACUUUCAGUGAUAAGCGACUGACACGGAUACGGGGGUGUUUGCCUAGCCAUAUAAAUUUGUUGAAUAUAGAUUGAGUCAGAUUCAGCCAACUAUCUGGGCAGGACAUGGGGAUCAUACGGAAUAAAUAGAUCCAUUUUGGAAGAAUAUAACAUUUUAUGAUAUUUAUUCUCCCCCACCAUGAGAGUUCCCAAGAUUUCCAUUCUUUGAAUUUUUUACUAGUAUAUUUUAGUAAGGACAUAAAAUUAACCUCCAUUAGGUUAGAGGGAUCUCUCGUACUUUCAAUUCUUAAAUAUGUAAAAGAUGAAGAGGAGCAAUUCAGCCCAAAAUGAUCAUAUAAUAAUUUUCUCAUCUCAGGAGAUAAAUUAACCAUCAGAGCAGCAGAUUUACUUUUAUUCAAUUUAUACCCAGAGAGUAUCGAAAACUCAUUAAUGAUCGUCAUAAAUUUAUCCAUAGAAGAAAUUGGGUCACAAAGGGUCAAAACUACAUCGUCAGCGUACAGUGUGAUUUUUACACGGUUUAAACCGGAAAACCUUUGAUUUGAUUAUCUGCCCUAAUUGCCAUGGCCAAAGGUUCAAUUACCAUUAAAUAAAGUAUGGGGGAAAGUGGGCAUCCCUGCCUAGUUCCAUUCUGCAGCUGGAACCAUUCUGAUGAAAAGCCUGCACCCAUUACUCAUGCCAUAGGAAAAGAAUAUAAGGCCAUUAUAGAUUUGACUAUAUUUCCACAGAGACCAAAUACCUCAAGAACCUGACCGAGGAAAUCUGUCGAAAGCCUUCUCAGCAUCCAAAUACAGAGUCAGUAGGGAGACCCGGUCAUGGUGCGCAUUGUCCAGUAUGUCUAUAAUUCUUCUGACUAAAGGUUCUAGGUUGGAAAAUCUGACAUGACAUGUCACAUGCUUACCAAACAAUUGAGUUUGUAGGUAAUGCCAUUUUUCUUAAUAGCAAUAUUUUUUGUGUCAAACAUAGUGGGUUAAGUCAAAACCUUCCAAUUAGCAUUGACGUAAUCUGGAUUUUGCGUAUAAAGCGGCAGAAAGAUGGAUUGUUUAACCGAAGAGGUGCCUGAAACAUGUAUUUAGGUUACCCCACCCUCCAAUAAACAGUAAAAAGACAAGACUUACUUACUGCGCCUCCCUGGUUGAGAUCAUCAAGAUUGAAAAUGUAUGUAUGUAAUACAUCUCAAUAAAGAUCAUUCAGCAUCAUCAUGCAUAGCGUAAAGAUUGCAGAAAUGAAAUACAGAAGGGACUCCAGUAGUCGUCUGAGUGACGGCAACUAGAGGUGUUACUAUGGAACGAGGUAAACACUGCUUUUUCGACAUACACUUUCUAGUUCCA